UACGUAGGGGGCAAGCGUUAUCCGGAAUUACUGGGUGUAAAGGGAGCGUGGACGGUAAUGUAAGUCUGGAGUGAAAGGCGGGGGCCCAACCCCCGGACUGCUCUGGAAACUAUGUUACUAGAGUGCAGGAGAGGUAAGCGGAAUUCCUAGUGUAGCGGUGAAAUGCGUAGAUAUUAGGAGGAACACCAGUGGCGAAGGCGGCUUACUGGACUGUAACUGACGUUGAGGCUCGAAAGCGUGGGGAGCAAACAGG
RNAcentral lists this ribosomal RNA (253 nucleotides) under uncultured bacterium. Its description in RNAcentral is "partial 16S ribosomal RNA". It matches the Rfam family "Bacterial small subunit ribosomal RNA", at positions 524 to 776 of the family's 1533-position model. The record is from RNAcentral.